UGGGGAAUUUUGGACAAUGGGCGAAAGCCUGAUCCAGCAAUGCCGCGUGUGUGAAGAAGGCCUUCGGGUUGUAAAGCACUUUUGUCCGGAAAGAAAUCCUUGGCUCUAAUACAGUCGGGGGAUGACGGUACCGGAAGAAUAAGCACCGGCUAACUACGUGCCAGCAGCCGCGGUAAUACGUAGGGUGCAAGCGUUAAUCGGAAUUACUGGGCGUAAAGCGUGCGCAGGCGGUUUGCUAAGACCGAUGUGAAAUCCCCGGGCUCAACCUGGGAACUGCAUUGGUGACUGGCAGGCUAGAGUAUGGCAGAGGGGGGUAAAUUCCACGUGUAGCAGUGAAAUGCGUAGAGAUGUGGAGGAAUACCGAUGGCGAAGGCAGCCCUCUGGGCCAAUACUGACGCUCAUGCACGAAAGCGUGGGGAGCAAACAGGAUUAAUACCCUGGUAGUCCACGCCCUAAACGAUGUCAACUAGUUGUUGGGGAUUCAUUUCCUUAGUAACGUAGCUAACGCGUGAAGUUGACCGCCU
This 524-nucleotide ribosomal RNA is filed under the name uncultured bacterium. RNAcentral describes it as "partial 16S ribosomal RNA". It matches the Rfam family "Bacterial small subunit ribosomal RNA", at positions 355 to 874 of the family's 1533-position model. The record is from RNAcentral.